This 608-nucleotide long non-coding RNA is filed under the name Dromaius novaehollandiae (emu). Its description in RNAcentral is "lncRNA (ENSDNVG00000001237.1)". The record is from RNAcentral. Lineage: Eukaryota; Metazoa; Chordata; Aves; Casuariiformes; Dromaiidae.
GACAGUGCUUAGAGAAACACUAAUUCUGUGACUCUGCUGGAGACCUGGGUGUUUGGUCUGCAGACAGCUUGAUCAACAACGGACACUUGCAAACCUCAGAGGCUAUCAAACCACCAUCACAACCUGUGGCUCCAGCUUGCUCCCUCCUUCAGCCAAGGAAUUGCUCUAUUGCUCAGAGCGAUUGCAGUGUGGCAUCACUGCUCGCCCUUAGCCUGUGCCACUUGUUAAAGACUGAGAACAUGGGAAUAUGGGUUGUUUUCUGCCAACAGAGGGUGGAAAGGAAAGAUGAGCCACUUCAAGCAAAGGUCCUGCUGAGACUGUGCAAAGAGUCAGGUUGUUUUGGAGGCAGGAGAAAAACAACUGCUCCUUCCUUCCUCUUGGAAAUGAUUUUGCCUUGGCCCAGCCUUUACAAAAUGGAAUUAGAAAGCCCUGCUGAGCAUUGGGAGCUGGCGGGAGCCAUCAUCCAGCCAAUUCAUCAUAACAGGAGCUCAGUAUCUAAUAAGCAGCACUUCUUUCUGUGUACCCCACGUGGGAAAACUGCUGAGGAAACCUUACAGGUGGGUCUGGAGAGCCAGGCUAACCAUGAAUGUCUUAAUUGUGGCAGAACC